RNAcentral lists this transfer RNA (76 nucleotides) under Sporolactobacillus putidus. RNAcentral's name for it is "tRNA-Val". It matches the Rfam family "tRNA". From Rfam's summary of the family: Transfer RNA (tRNA) molecules are approximately 80 nucleotides in length. Their secondary structure includes four short double-helical elements and three loops (D, anti-codon, and T loops). The record is from RNAcentral. Lineage: Bacteria; Bacillati; Bacillota; Bacilli; Caryophanales; Sporolactobacillaceae. RNAcentral also lists the same sequence under 3 other names.
GGAGGAUUAGCUCAGCUGGGAGAGCGUCUGCCUUACAAGCAGAGGGUCAUAGGUUCGAACCCUAUAUCCUCCACCA